RNA transcript from Zea mays, 3787 nucleotides. It is a transcript of the gene named probable NAD kinase 2, chloroplastic, with no coding region annotated. The transcript is spliced from 8 exons. The record is from RefSeq and is a predicted model, not a curated record. Lineage: Eukaryota; Viridiplantae; Streptophyta; Magnoliopsida; Poales; Poaceae.
AUGACUCAAACCUCAUCCGUUUAGCAACCGUCCAAGAACGUCAAUUUCAGAAAAAGAAGAUCUCAUGGUUCCAUUUUCACCUCUUUUCUCCGUCUCCCCUUUUUCCAGCCAUAUUUGUUUCCGAACCUUUUUCGUGUACCGUGUUUAUUGUGUUUUCCAUUUCACCCCUUGUUUUCGACAUGCCAUUGCUCCUCCCUCAAACGCCACGGCUUUUUUCACGAACCAACUGUGACAAUCCAGUCAAUUCUGAUCUCUAGGCCCUCGCUUCCCCUUCCUGUGGAUGCCAUCGGGGCGCUCACCGGGACAACAUACUCCUCGACAGCGACGCCGCCGCGCUUCCUUGAGGAAAGCUCGUAGCUGCCCCCGCGCAAAGCUCCGGUCUUUCUUGGCCCUGACCCCUCCUCCCCGCCGCCGGCGCCGCGUGAGCACGCCGCGCUUGGCUUGAUGCUCGACUUCUGCGCGCCCCACGGGCCCGCCAAGCUCCCGGUUGCGUCUGUCGCUGGGGUGCGAGUCGCCGGCAGGUGGUUGUGGCGAUCGGCGGCGGUUGGGGCGGUGCGCCAUGGCGUCUCCGCGCGGGCCUCAUCCUUCGGUUCCCGGAUCGGGCUCGAUUCUCAGAAUUUUCACACAAGGGACCUCUCCCAGUUGUUGUGGAUCGGUCCGGUGCCAGGUGACAUCGCAGAGAUUGAGGCCUACUGCCGCAUAUUCCGUGCUGCCGAGCAGCUCCAUACUGCAGUCAUGUCAGCACUCUGUGAUCCAGAGACAGGAGAGUGCCCUGUACGCUAUGAUGUUGAAUCAGAGGAUCUGCCGGUGCUGGAAGACAAGGUUGCUGCCGUCCUUGGCUGCAUGCUGGCGUUGCUGAACCGGGGAAGGAAUGAGGUGCUCUCAGGGAGAUCAGGUGUUGCAAGUGCCUUCCAGGGAUCUGAGGACAGCACUGCUGAUAGGAUCCCACCGCUCGCCUUGUUCCGUGGAGACAUGAAGCGUUGCUGUGAGAGUAUGCAGGUGGCGCUUGCAAGCUACCUUGUGCCAAGUGAACCUAGGGGGUUGGACAUAUGGAGGAAGCUGCAGAGAUUAAAGAACACUUGUUAUGAUGCAGGUUUCCCGAGGGCUGAUGGUUAUCCAUGUCCGACAUUGUUUGCAAAUUGGUUUCCAGUGUACCUUUCGAUUGUGUCAGAUGAUUCAGGAAUGGAUGAGCUAGAGGUUGCAUUUUGGAGGGGAGGACAAGUCAGUGAGGAGGGACUGGCAUGGCUACUUGGAAAGGGAUUCAAAACUAUUGUUGAUCUCCGGGAAGAAGAUGUUAAAGAUGAUUUGUACCUUUCAGCAGUUCAGGAAGCUGUCUCAUCUGGGAAGAUAGAGGUGGUGAAUAUGCCAGUUGAGAUUGGAACUGCACCAUCAGCUGAACAGGUUCAGCAAUUUGCAGCUCUUGUGUCAGAUGGCGCAAAGAAGCCCAUUUAUCUCUACAGCAAAGAAGGUGUUUCUAGGACGUCUGCAAUGGUCUCAAGAUGGAAACAGUAUGUUACUCGUUCAGAGAGAUUGGCUGUCCAAAAUCACUCUCUAAAUGGGAAUGGUAACAUCCUGACAAAUCACAAGACCAUGCAGCACACUGGCAUACCAAGUUCCUCUCCGAAUGGAGCUGAAAAUGGUAUGAUAACAGAAUCUGAUAGGACCAUGAACAAUGGGGAAUCAAGUGAGAUAGACAUAGAUACAGCUCGUCAUAAUCUGGAGGUCACUAAUGCCCUUUGUAAUGAUCAAAGCACUCAACAAGGUGAAAUGCCUGACACCGUGGCAGAACUCUUGUCAAACUUUAAACUGGAGAGUAACCCCCUUAAAGCACAAUUUCCUACUUGCGAUGUUUUCUCUAGAAAAGAGAUGACCAAGUUUUUUAGAAGCAAAACAGUUUAUCCAAAAUCUGUUCUGAACUCUAGGAGACGAUCAAGUAGCUUGGUUAUAAGGAGAAAACAAAAUCUCUGCACGGAGCGUAGUGGAACCAAUGACUAUGAAGCAGCAGAGUUUGCAGUUCUCAGAAGUUCAAAUGGAAAAUCAUUUGACAGUGAUUAUAUUCUAUCAGUUGCUUCAGGUAUCACUGAUGGAAAACCUUCAAACAAUGAAGCCUCAUUAAUUGAGGAAAAGGAAAGGGAAGUUUCAGUUGCCACUAUUGACACUAGAGCAUCUGCCAACAGUUCUAAUAGAAAGGUUCAGGUUGGAUCACAAGAAUCUGCUGAAAAGAAUAGUACCCCUUAUCUUGAGAGAAACAAAUCAGAUAAUGUUGAUAGAAAUAUGUGUGCAUCUGCAACUGGUGUUGUUAGACUCCAGUCAAGAAGAAAAGCAGAGAUGUUUCUAGUACGUACUGAUGGAUUUUCUUGUACUAGAGAAAAAGUAACAGAAUCAUCUCUGGCUUUUACGCAUCCUAGUACCCAGCAACAGAUGCUUAUGUGGAAAUCACCUCCAAAGACUGUCUUACUUUUGAAGAAAUUAGGAGAUGAGCUCAUGGAAGAAGCUAAAGAGGUUGCUUCAUUUCUGCAUCAUCAAGAAAAGAUGAAUGUUCUUGUGGAACCUGAUGUUCAUGAUACAUUUGCUAGAAUUCCAGGUUAUGGUUUUGUGCAAACCUUCUAUACUCAAGAUACCAGUGACCUUCAUGAGCGAAUUGAUUUUGUUACAUGCUUGGGUGGUGAUGGACUCAUUUUGCAUGCAUCAAACUUAUUUAGAACUUCUGUACCACCUGUUGUCUCCUUCAAUCUCGGAUCUCUUGGGUUCUUAACUUCACAUAAUUUCGAAGGUUUCAGACAAGAUUUGAGAGAUUUAAUCCAUGGGAACAACACACUUGGAAUUUAUAUAACUCUUAGAAUGCGUCUAAGAUGUGAGAUCUUUCGCAAAGGAAAAUCAAUGCCUGGUAAAGUGUUUGAUGUGCUGAAUGAAGUUGUUGUUGAUCGAGGUUCCAAUCCAUACCUAUCAAAAAUUGAGUGUUAUGAGCAUAACCACCUUAUCACUAAGGUGCAAGCUGACGGGGUGAUAGUUGCAACACCAACUGGCAGCACAGCAUAUUCUACUGCAGCAGGGGGAUCAAUGGUAGGUUAAUUCUUACCAGUUAUAAUCAUUAUUAAACCCUAUCAUGACAUGGGAAAGUACAUUUUCCUGUGUGAUGACACCUGUGACCUGUUUCUUCAAAUGCUUUUCAAAAGGAUUGUUAUAACUAGUGGACCUGAGGGCUGAUGCCAGUGGGGGCUAGGACAAGAGGAACCUCAGGGUCCGAGAAGGCGUCCCAUUGGGCUGGGGCAAGAGGUGCCACAUGGCGCAAAGGUGCCUCGGGGACUGAAACUGUUCAUCCAAACGUCCCAUGCAUGCUGUUUACUCCAAUCUGCCCUCACUCACUGUCAUUUAGACCUGUCAUCCUUCCGGAUUCUGCCCGGCUUGAAUUAAAGAUACCAGAUGAGGCAAGAAGCAAUGCAUGGGUUUCGUUUGAUGGCAAAAGGAGGCAGCAACUGUCAAGAGGAGAUUCUGUUCGUAUAUCCAUGAGUCAGCACCCACUCCCAACUGUUAAUAAAUCUGACCAAACGGGUGAUUGGUUCCGCAGCCUGAUCAGGUGUCUCAACUGGAACGAGAGAUUGGACCAGAAGGCAUUAUAGGCACUAGAAAAUUUUUUAUUGUUUCUGUACAUAUGUAAAUUUAUACACAUAUAGUUUUGUUUUUCUGCCAACAUGUACAACGUGUAACAUCAAAGAAUCUUGCACGUAAGGAGCUCCGUAGCUUACUUUAUCCAUGUAUUCACGUGCUUCACAAAUCAACUUAUAUA